RNAcentral lists this long non-coding RNA (376 nucleotides) under Dermacentor andersoni. Its description in RNAcentral is "uncharacterized LOC126529679". Lineage: Eukaryota; Metazoa; Arthropoda; Arachnida; Ixodida; Ixodidae. The record is from RNAcentral.
GAAACAAUAAGCGCUAAUAGUUGUUUUCUUUUAAAUUUUAGGCCUUGAUUGUUCAACGAGACGGCCCCCGUCGUGCUGGUUUUCAAGGUGCUCCCUCGCUGCCUAGAAGAUGCUGAUGCGGAAUAGAAAAUGCAAAAACGUCGCUCGCUCAACCGCAAAUUGACGGCUACGCUGAAGCGCAUGCCGUGUCUGCGGAAUUUGAACCCCGAGCUUUCCAGAGUUCCUUGGAAAAUCCUCCCAUGCACCUGCCAUGUACAUUGCCCUCCUCCUCGAUGUGGCGUGCAAGAUGGCAGCAGCAGCUGUGGGAACAGUUGAAGAGGCGAAGAAAGGUCCACUUUAUAAUAGGUUGUAUGUAAAUAAAACUGAUCGACCUCAA